RNAcentral lists this ribosomal RNA (253 nucleotides) under uncultured bacterium. RNAcentral describes it as "partial 16S ribosomal RNA". It matches the Rfam family "Bacterial small subunit ribosomal RNA", at positions 524 to 776 of the family's 1533-position model. The record is from RNAcentral.
UACAGAGGUCUCAAGCGUUGUUCGGAUUCAUUGGGCGUAAAGGGUGCGUAGGUGGCGGGGCAAGUCAGGUGUGAAAUCUCGGAGCUCAACUCCGAAACUGCACUUGAUACUGCCUUGCUGGAGUACUGGAGAGGAGAUUGGAAUUUACGGUGUAGCAGUGAAAUGCGUAGAUAUCGUAAGGAAGACCAGUGGCGAAGGCGAAUCUCUGGACAGUUACUGACACUGAGGUACGAAGGCCAGGGGAGCAAACGGG